RNAcentral lists this ribosomal RNA (128 nucleotides) under uncultured eukaryote. RNAcentral's name for it is "partial small subunit ribosomal RNA". It matches the Rfam family "Eukaryotic small subunit ribosomal RNA", at positions 1651 to 1776 of the family's 1831-position model. The record is from RNAcentral.
CCCUGCCAUUUGUACACACCGCCCGUCGCACCUACCGAUUGAAUGGUCCGGUGAAAUCUUUGGACUGCGACAUUGUUUUGUUCAUUCAAAACGCUGUUGCGGGAAGUUGAUUAAACCUUACCAUUUAG